This 727-nucleotide long non-coding RNA is filed under the name Homo sapiens (human). RNAcentral's name for it is "HSALNT0361591". Lineage: Eukaryota; Metazoa; Chordata; Mammalia; Primates; Hominidae. The record is from RNAcentral.
GAGACUUCCCUAAAAGCUGCAUUUAGGACCUGGCCCGUUCUCCCCAGCUCCAGAGCAGCAGCAAAGGGAAGCAGCGUCCUCGCCAAUACCUGGGCUGUCCUUCAAGGCUCAGUGCAAGGAAAAACACCUGGGUUGGACAUCAGGUAGUGCUGACUUCCAGACCACUGAGGUCACCUGCAUAAGCGAGUCUGGCAACAAAUAAUCGUCUUCCAGAAAAUGACCAGAAACUCAGCCUGCUUUUUGUCAUUUCACCAGCCCCACCAUCUUUCCUUUAUUCUAGAGCUCCUGGCACACUUACAUGAAUCUCUUGAAAGAAGAGAAAUGAGAGCAUUCAUUCCAUACUAAUACAAUUGUGCCCUAUGGAAAGGCUUUUUGCUGGCAGACAUAGUAGACGGACCAUUUCCCAACUUCUUUUUCUUUGCCACCUUCCAGCCAAAGGUGUCCAUAUGACACAGCUCUGGACAGGAUAAUUGGAAGUCUGUUGUGGGAUUUCUGAGAAAGCUUUUGAUUUUCUGACAGAGACAUUUUUGCUUCCCCUUACCACUUCCUACUGGAUUACAGAUGUGAUGGAAAGAGCUGCAGCAGCCAUAAUACAACCAUAAAGGAGAGGAGAAGAGAAUUGCAAAGGCAUCAACCCACAUUGAAUUGAACUGCUAAGUUAACACUAGCAGUUACUUGCCUCCAGAUAUCUUGGUGUGUGAGAACAUUAAAUCUGUAUGUGUCUAAA